CAAGAAAAUAAAAACGAAGGAAUAAAAUACUAUGAUCUAACGUAAGGUUAGAUCCAGUAAAAAUUACACAAUAGUUUCCGGUGUAUAAACUAUUGUGAGAAAAUUAAUUGAAUGCUUCAAAAUUUGCUGGAAAAGAAAAGGAAAUAAAAAUUGCUAGGUAAAUAGAGUGCUGGAAGAUAAGAAAAACAAUAAAAAUAAUGCUGUGCCGAAAAUUGGAAAAUUUAGCGAGAGCAGCAGGGUUCCACAAUUUGUCCUAUUUAUAUCAAUCCACCAAGUGAUCGUUUCGUCUAUUCAGUAGGUUUCCUCACGUCAACUAGUCAAGCGAAAAAGCAGGAUGAACGUGCUUCUGUUAUGCGUCAAACCCAAAAAUAUAGGAAUGGAGGUGUGACGUUCGUCACACCAUGUGUUACGUUCGUAACACAAAGCAGGGGGGCGUGACGCUCCUCACACCUUGUGUGGCGGUCGUCACAGCUUCAGCGCUUCUGGUUGAUAGUUGUGGGCUGGGCUUUAGUGGAAAUUGCUUCUUAUCAUCUUUUUGCACCUCCUUUUCUUCUUUUUCACGUAUGCUUCAAAUAAUGUUGUCUGGAAUAAAUAGAAGACUUCAGCGCUUCUGGUUGAUAGUUGUGGGCUGGGCUUUAGUGGAAAUUGCUUCUUAUCAUCUUUUUGCACCUCCUUUUCUUCUUUUUCACGUAUGCUUCAAAUAAUGUUGUCUGGAAUAAAUAGAAGGAAAAUACCAAGUAAUAUCGAAUAAUAUAAAAUAAAUCGAAACAAAUAAUAAUAUAAUUUAAUUAAAUCGAGUCCAAAAGUGUGAUAUUAUUUCAUGCUAUCAACCAUUCAUAAACCUGUUUUUUUUUCUUCAUUUUCUUCUUUUGGGACUUGGAGAGUUCUAGUUGGAACUUGAGAAACUUAGUCUCCAAGUCUUCAAUCUCUUAAGGUUCAUCAUCUGUUGCCUCUAGCUUAGUCAUAAUGGCCCAAGAAUUAUCCAAAAAUGCAUUAUUCUUGUAUUUAAUAACCUUAUCAUCAUAAUUAGUGGAAUGAUCUUCAGCUUCAAAAGUGGCAUCUACAAACUCUGAGUCAUCUGAGCUAAUCACCUCAGUCCUCUUAUCUGGUUAGUGGGAAACAGGCUUGACCCUAACAUUUAAAUUUUCAAGUGAGUGAUUAAUAUCCUCAUCCACCCUAAUGCCAUUUAAAAUUUCCAAC
Molecule: long non-coding RNA, 1200 nt
Filed under: Lathyrus oleraceus (garden pea)
Lineage: Eukaryota; Viridiplantae; Streptophyta; Magnoliopsida; Fabales; Fabaceae
Description: Pisum sativum (pea) long non-coding RNA (PSAT_LNC039104)
Source: RNAcentral